This is a non-coding RNA of Pimephales promelas (fathead minnow), 1191 nucleotides long. The record is from RefSeq and is a predicted model, not a curated record. NCBI's taxonomy places the organism in Eukaryota, Metazoa, Chordata, Actinopteri, Cypriniformes, Leuciscidae.
AGUGUGGAGAAAAAGCUGACCUUUGACCUGCGUGAUCGUCCUCUCCCAGCUGUGUGUUGUGUUUUGGCUGCUGUCCAUGUGCACUUUCAAUCCCAUCAAACAAAACUAUAAUAACAUUGAGAUGUAGAAGAUGGAGAAGGCGGAACGAUGGGCUCUAAAGGCACCCAGCUGUCCAUCGCUUCUAAUCCCAAAUCACCUGUCCAGCGACGGACCAAUGGAGAGGCUAACAGAUUUAUAACCAGUAUCGCAUCAGGGGGUGGAUCCUCUGGAGAUGUGAACGAGCCAGAACUUGGCUCGGCGUUUGUGGUUCGACUGCUCGAGGCUGUUUUCCAAAGAUGGCUCCUGCCUGUUUGGAAGCCAGGAGGAGGCGACAGACUGACAAGCACCAUUAACCCCCUCCUUCCCAACGAGUCGAACCUUCAACAAAACGGACAGCAGUCAGAUCAUACGUGAUCAAGUGAGUGCAGCUCUGUGGCAGCUAGGGGAAGAUUCUCUCAUGGAUGUCCGCAGGUACCUGAAAUGUGAUGGCAUGGGCAGUGGAGAGACCCACGGCAGGACAUGGAGGGCACUCAUCAAGAUGGCUGAAUGUGUAUUGGAUGAGCUUGAGGAGAACCAAGACGGUGAUGAAGUUAAACAGUUCUGUGCUGAUUUAUUAACAUUCAUUGAAAGACCAAGUAAAGAGUGUCAUCAACCAGAUGAAGUGAAGCCAUCAGAGAAGCCAGCUCCAAAGGAAGAAGAAAAAAAAAUAUUUUGCACCACAAAGUUCUCAUGUAAAGAAAACAGAUUCCCCACUCAAGAGCCAACUAGAGCCAACUCGCCCAUUGCCUGAGGUAACUAUGCGAAGAGAGUUUAAAAUCUGUGGUCAAACUGGAGAGGGUGGUCAGAGGGAUAGGUUGUCGUAUCUCAGUUUAGUUUGCCAGAUUGAGCUUCGAAUAGAUAAAGGGCACACACAGACUGAGGUAGUCGAAGCUGCAAUCAGGGCUGUCAGUCCAGGGCUGCCUUUGAGAGACAUGCUGGAGAUCAAGCAUGGUCUGACCCUCAGUUCACUUUUCACCAUCCUGAAAGGUCACUGUUGGGUAGAUAGCUCCACUGAACUUUACCAUCAGCUGCUAAACAUCUCUCCGGAGCCCUAAGAAACUGUCCUGAACUUUGUAGUCCAUGCAAUUGAGCUGAAAGAGAAGCUGUUAUGGA